UACAGAGGGGGCAAGCGUUGUUCGGAAUUACUGGGCGUAAAGGGCGCGUAGGCGGCCCGCUAAGUCGAACGUGAAAUCCCCGAGCUCAACUCGGGAACUGCGUCCGAUACUGGCGGGCUUGAAUCCGGGAGAGGGAUGCGGAAUUCCAGGUGUAGCGGUGAAAUGCGUAGAUAUCUGGAGGAACACCGGUGGCGAAGGCGGCAUCCUGGACCGGCAUUGACGCUGAGGCGCGAAAGCGUGGGUAUCAAACAGG
RNAcentral lists this ribosomal RNA (253 nucleotides) under uncultured bacterium. Its description in RNAcentral is "partial 16S ribosomal RNA". It matches the Rfam family "Bacterial small subunit ribosomal RNA", at positions 524 to 776 of the family's 1533-position model. The record is from RNAcentral.